AGAGUUUGAUCAUGGCUCAGAUUGAACGCUGGCGGCAUGCCUUACACAUGCAAGUCGAACGGAUUGAGGGGCUUGCUCCUCAGUUAGUGGCGAACGGGUGAGUAAUGCAUCGGAACGUGCCCAGUCGUGGGGGAUAACUACUCGAAAGAGUAGCUAAUACCGCAUACGCCCUGAGGGGGAAAGCGGGGGACUCGCAAGACCUCGCGCGAUUGGAGCGGCCGAUGUCAGAUUAGCUAGUUGGUAGGGUAAAAGCCUACCAAGGCGACGAUCUGUAGCUGGUCUGAGAGGACGACCAGCCACACUGGGACUGAGACACGGCCCAGACUCCUACGGGAGGCAGCAGUGGGGAAUUUUGGACAAUGGGCGAAAGCCUGAUCCAGCCAUGCCGCGUGAGUGAAGAAGGCCUUCGGGUUGUAAAGCUCUUUCGGACAGAAAGAAAUCGCAUGAACUAAUACUUUGUGCGGAUGACGGUACUGUAAGAAGAAGCACCGGCUAACUACGUGCCAGCAGCCGCGGUAAUACGUAGGGUGCGAGCGUUAAUCGGAAUUACUGGGCGUAAAGGGUGCGCAGGCGGUUAUAUAAGACAGAUGUGAAAUCCCCGGGCUCAACCUGGGAACUGCGUUUGUGACUGUAUGACUAGAGUACGGUAGAGAGGGGUGGAAUUCCUGGUAGCAGUGAAAUGCGUAGAUAUCAGGAGGAACAUCGAUGGCGAAGGCAGCCCCUUGGACCUGUACUGACGCUCAUGCACGAAAGCGUGGGGAGCAAACAGGAUUAGAUACCCCAGUAGUCC
Molecule: ribosomal RNA, 790 nt
Filed under: uncultured bacterium
Lineage: Bacteria
Description: bacterial SSU rRNA
Rfam family: Bacterial small subunit ribosomal RNA
Source: RNAcentral